RNAcentral lists this small RNA (153 nucleotides) under Macaca fascicularis (crab-eating macaque). Its description in RNAcentral is "Metazoan signal recognition particle RNA (ENSMFAG00000048088.1)". It matches the Rfam family "Metazoan signal recognition particle RNA". Rfam says of the family: The signal recognition particle (SRP) is a universally conserved ribonucleoprotein. It is involved in the co-translational targeting of proteins to membranes. The record is from Rfam by way of RNAcentral. RNAcentral also lists the same sequence under 2 other names. Lineage: Eukaryota; Metazoa; Chordata; Mammalia; Primates; Cercopithecidae.
GCCAGGUGUGGUGGUUCACACCUGUAUUCCCAGCUACUAGGGAGGCUGAGGUGGGAGGAUCACUUGAACCCGGGAGGCUGAGGUUGCAGUGAGCCAAGCAGAGAUUACAACACUGUACUCCAGCCUGGGCAACAGAGUGAGACUCCAUCUCAA